GUGUUAUCUGUGUAAUGACAAAACACAAAAAAAAUACCAUACGACUUAAAUAAUAAUAAUAUAUUACUAUAAAAAAAGUUGUAUGUCAGUGCUUAGUAGUGUAAAGCUUAGUAUUGUUUUCUUCAUUAUUUAUUAACGAACCAAAAAUUAACAUUAAAUACGAAAUUCAGCGGAAGUUUAAAAAACAAUUGAUUUCAGACUUGGCAGCCGUUCGAUUACGGUACACAUCUUGAGACAGACGUGAAAUACGAAAAAAACUUUAUAUAGUAGAUAAGAAUACAGGUUAAAAGAUCUUCAUCAAGCUUAAUUAAAUCUGAAUUUUCGAUUCAGCAUUUGAUUCAAACGAAUAAUGCGUAUCUGAUUGCAAUUUCAAAAUGAUAUUUCCAAAGGCGGUGUACGUAUUUUGAAUAGAAUGAUUGAUAAUAAUUAUUUGUGGCCAGCUUAACACAUUAAUAUUUGUGAUGUAAUAUGUCCUGUGAAGAAACGGUGGAAUAAAUUCAUCGGGUUCGCCAGGUACUCUUCAGAAUUAGUCACGUUGAACAGAAAGACCCUCGUAUAAAGCUGGACUUCAGGUUUCCUCCACAUCUCGAAGAUUUCGCCCCCAUCCUGCAGAAGGACUUUCUGUGGACAGAAACAUGGUCCCAUGCACGUCCACUGCUGGACAUAGGCCUCCCCCAAGCCUCGCCACAAAGACCGGUCCUGCGCUGCCUGCAUCCAGCGGAUCUCCGCGAACCUCAAUAGGUCGUCGGCCCACCUUGUGGGAGGCCUACCCACGCUACGUCUCCCAGUACGCGGUCGCCACUCAAGAACCUUCUGGCCCCAACGGCCAUCUGUUCCGCGAGCAAUGUGUCCUGCCCACUGCCACUUCAUUUAAUUUAAUUCUCAUAAUGUUACCGUAAUUAUGAGUACAGUAAAUUUAUUGUCACGACAACAGGCACGUGGUCCUAUAACUAUAUAUUCGUAAAAACUGUUAAAUUAGGAGUUAUACAUUAAAAACUACCCCAAAUCACUGGUAUCGCUGGUUCGAUAUUCAAAUUCUAACUUGUUUUCUAUUUUUCCAGUAAUGCCUGUUGAAAUUCGGCAUAUUUAUUUAAUCAGUGCAAUAAUAAAAGAAAACUAACUCGAUAUUAGAACAUUAUUAAAAACAAACGAAGUACGAUUCCUAAGCUUUUAAAAAAAGUUCCUAUUUAAAUUGUCAACCGUGUUGGCGUUAUCAAAUGCGUAAAAUGAAAAAUAUAGUUAAAUGAAUAUUAUAUAAUAUUAUCAAUAAACCAGUGAUUGACUUGAUUGUGAUGAA
This is a long non-coding RNA of Bombyx mori (domestic silkworm), 1297 nucleotides long. RefSeq lists it as uncharacterized. The record is from RefSeq and is a predicted model, not a curated record. The transcript is spliced from 3 exons. NCBI's taxonomy places the organism in Eukaryota, Metazoa, Arthropoda, Insecta, Lepidoptera, Bombycidae.